This 207-nucleotide ribosomal RNA is filed under the name Escherichia coli. RNAcentral's name for it is "partial 23S ribosomal RNA". It matches the Rfam family "Bacterial large subunit ribosomal RNA", at positions 2110 to 2316 of the family's 2925-position model. Lineage: Bacteria; Pseudomonadati; Pseudomonadota; Gammaproteobacteria; Enterobacterales; Enterobacteriaceae. The record is from RNAcentral.
CUUGACACUGAACAUUGAGCCUUGAUGUGUAGGAUAGGUGGGAGGCUUUGAAGUGUGGACGCCAGUCUGCAUGGAGCCGGCCUUGAAAUACCACCCUUUAAUGUUUGAUGUUCUAACGUUGACCCGUGAUCCGGGUUGCGGACAGUGUCUGGUGGGUAGUUUGACUGGGGCGGUCUCCUCCUAAAGAGUAACGGAGGAGCACGAAGG